GACGAACGCUGGCGGCGUGCUUAACACAUGCAAGUCGAACGGAAAGGCCCUGCUUUUGUGGGGUGCUCGAGUGGCGAACGGGUGAGUAACACGUGAGUAACCUGCCCUUGACUUUGGGAUAACUUCAGGAAACUGGGGCUAAUACCGGAUAGGAGCUCCUGCUGCAUGGUGGGGGUUGGAAAGUUUCGGCGGUUGGGGAUGGACUCGCGGCUUAUCAGCUUGUUGGUGGGGUAGUGGCUUACCAAGGCUUUGACGGGUAGCCGGCCUGAGAGGGUGACCGGCCACAUUGGGACUGAGAUACGGCCCAGACUCCUACGGGAGGCAGCAGUGGGGAAUAUUGCACAAUGGGCGGAAGCCUGAUGCAGCAACGCCGCGUGCGGGAUGACGGCCUUCGGGUUGUAAACCGCUUUGGCCUGUGACGAAGCGUGAGUGACGGUAAUGGGUAAAGAAGCACCGGCUAACUACGUG
This 468-nucleotide ribosomal RNA is filed under the name uncultured bacterium. RNAcentral's name for it is "partial 16S ribosomal RNA". It matches the Rfam family "Bacterial small subunit ribosomal RNA", at positions 28 to 507 of the family's 1533-position model. The record is from RNAcentral.